GAGGGUAGAACUCAGUGGUAGAGCAUAUGUCUAGCAUGCAUGAGGUCCUGAGUUCAAUCCCCAGUACCUCCG
Molecule: transfer RNA, 72 nt
Filed under: Camelus bactrianus (Bactrian camel)
Lineage: Eukaryota; Metazoa; Chordata; Mammalia; Artiodactyla; Camelidae
Also listed under: 1 other name
Rfam family: tRNA
About the family: Transfer RNA (tRNA) molecules are approximately 80 nucleotides in length. Their secondary structure includes four short double-helical elements and three loops (D, anti-codon, and T loops).
Source: Rfam by way of RNAcentral